This 486-nucleotide ribosomal RNA is filed under the name uncultured bacterium. RNAcentral describes it as "partial 16S ribosomal RNA". It matches the Rfam family "Bacterial small subunit ribosomal RNA", at positions 30 to 507 of the family's 1533-position model. The record is from RNAcentral.
AUUGAACGCUGGCGGCAUGCCUUACACAUGCAAGUCGAACGGCAGCACGGGUGCUUGCACCUGGUGGCGAGUGGCGAACGGGUGAGUAAUACAUCGGAACAUGUCCUGUAGUGGGGGAUAGCCCGGCGAAAGCCGGAUUAAUACCGCAUACGAUCUACGGAUGACAGCGGGGGACCUUCGGGCCUCGCGCUAUAGGGUUGGCCGAUGGCUGAUUAGCUAGUUGGUGGGGUAAAGGCCUACCAAGGCGACGAUCAGUAGCUGGUCUGAGAGGACGACCAGCCGCACUGGGACUGAGACACGGCCCAGACUCCUACGGGAGGCAGCAGUGGGGAAUUUUGGACAAUGGGCGAAAGCCUGAUCCAGCAAUGCCGCGUGUGUGAAGAAGGCCUUCGGGUUGUGAAGCACUUUUGUCCGGAAAGAAAUCCUUGGCCCUAAUACGGUCGGGGGAUGACGGUACCGGAAGAAUAAGCACCAGCUAACUACGUG